This 497-nucleotide ribosomal RNA is filed under the name uncultured bacterium. Its description in RNAcentral is "partial 16S ribosomal RNA". It matches the Rfam family "Bacterial small subunit ribosomal RNA", at positions 28 to 507 of the family's 1533-position model. The record is from RNAcentral.
GACGAACGCUGGCGGCGUGCCUAAUACAUGCAAGUUGAGCGCUGAAGGUUGGUACUUGUACCAACUGGAUGAGCAGCGAACGGGUGAGUAACGCGUGGGGAAUCUGCCUUUGAGCGGGGGACAACAGUUGGAAACGAAUGCUAAUACCGCAUAAAAACUUUAAACACAAGUUUUAAGUUUGAAAGAUGCAAUUGCAUCACUCAAAGAUGAUCCCGCGUUGUAUUAGCUAGUUGGUGAGGUAAAGGCUCACCAAGGCGAUGAUACAUAGCCGACCUGAGAGGGUGAUCGGCCACAUUGGGACUGAGACACGGCCCAAACUCCUACGGGAGGCAGCAGUAGGGAAUCUUCGGCAAUGGACGAAAGUCUGACCGAGCAACGCCGCGUGAGUGAAGAGGGUUUUCGGAUCGUAAAACUCUGUUGGUAGAGAAGAACGUUGGUGAGAGUGGAAAGCUCAUCAAGUGACGGUAACUAACCAGAAAGGGACGGCUAACUACGUG